This 2906-nucleotide ribosomal RNA is filed under the name Escherichia coli. RNAcentral's name for it is "23S ribosomal RNA". It matches the Rfam family "Bacterial large subunit ribosomal RNA". The record is from RNAcentral. Lineage: Bacteria; Pseudomonadati; Pseudomonadota; Gammaproteobacteria; Enterobacterales; Enterobacteriaceae.
GGUUAAGCGACUAAGCGUACACGGUGGAUGCCCUGGCAGUCAGAGGCGAUGAAGGACGUGCUAAUCUGCGAUAAGCGUCGGUAAGGUGAUAUGAACCGUUAUAACCGGCGAUUUCCGAAUGGGGAAACCCAGUGUGUUUCGACACACUAUCAUUAACUGAAUCCAUAGGUUAAUGAGGCGAACCGGGGGAACUGAAACAUCUAAGUACCCCGAGGAAAAGAAAUCAACCGAGAUUCCCCCAGUAGCGGCGAGCGAACGGGGAGCAGCCCAGAGCCUGAAUCAGUAUGUGUGUUAGUGGAAGCGUCUGGAAAGGCGCGCGAUACAGGGUGACAGCCCCGUACACAAAAAUGCACAUGCUGUGAGCUCGAUGAGUAGGGCGGGACACGUGGUAUCCUGUCUGAAUAUGGGGGGACCAUCCUCCAAGGCUAAAUACUCCUGACUGACCGAUAGUGAACCAGUACCGUGAGGGAAAGGCGAAAAGAACCCCGGCGAGGGGAGUGAAAAAGAACCUGAAACCGUGUACGUACAAGCAGUGGGAGCACGCUUAGGCGUGUGACUGCGUACCUUUUGUAUAAUGGGUCAGCGACUUAUAUUCUGUAGCAAGGUUAACCGAAUAGGGGAGCCGAAGGGAAACCGAGUCUUAACUGGGCGUUAAGUUGCAGGGUAUAGACCCGAAACCCGGUGAUCUAGCCAUGGGCAGGUUGAAGGUUGGGUAACACUAACUGGAGGACCGAACCGACUAAUGUUGAAAAAUUAGCGGAUGACUUGUGGCUGGGGGUGAAAGGCCAAUCAAACCGGGAGAUAGCUGGUUCUCCCCGAAAGCUAUUUAGGUAGCGCCUCGUGAAUUCAUCUCCGGGGGUAGAGCACUGUUUCGGCAAGGGGGUCAUCCCGACUUACCAACCCGAUGCAAACUGCGAAUACCGGAGAAUGUUAUCACGGGAGACACACGGCGGGUGCUAACGUCCGUCGUGAAGAGGGAAACAACCCAGACCGCCAGCUAAGGUCCCAAAGUCAUGGUUAAGUGGGAAACGAUGUGGGAAGGCCCAGACAGCCAGGAUGUUGGCUUAGAAGCAGCCAUCAUUUAAAGAAAGCGUAAUAGCUCACUGGUCGAGUCGGCCUGCGCGGAAGAUGUAACGGGGCUAAACCAUGCACCGAAGCUGCGGCAGCGACGCUGAUGCGUUGUUGGGUAGGGGAGCGUUCUGUAAGCCUGCGAAGGUGUGCUGUGAGGCAUGCUGGAGGUAUCAGAAGUGCGAAUGCUGACAUAAGUAACGAUAAAGCGGGUGAAAAGCCCGCUCGCCGGAAGACCAAGGGUUCCUGUCCAACGUUAAUCGGGGCAGGGUGAGUCGACCCCUAAGGCGAGGCCGAAAGGCGUAGUCGAUGGGAAACAGGUUAAUAUUCCUGUACUUGGUGUUACUGCGAAGGGGGGACGGAGAAGGCUAUGUUGGCCGGGCGACGGUUGUCCCGGUUUAAGCGUGUAGGCUGGUUUUCCAGGCAAAUCCGGAAAAUCAAGGCUGAGGCGUGAUGACGAGGCACUACGGUGCUGAAGCAACAAAUGCCCUGCUUCCAGGAAAAGCCUCUAAGCAUCAGGUAACAUCAAAUCGUACCCCAAACCGACACAGGUGGUCAGGUAGAGAAUACCAAGGCGCUUGAGAGAACUCGGGUGAAGGAACUAGGCAAAAUGGUGCCGUAACUUCGGGAGAAGGCACGCUGAUAUGUAGGUGAAGUCCCUCGCGGAUGGAGCUGAAAUCAGUCGAAGAUACCAGCUGGCUGCAACUGUUUAUUAAAAACACAGCACUGUGCAAACACGAAAGUGGACGUAUACGGUGUGACGCCUGCCCGGUGCCGGAAGGUUAAUUGAUGGGGUUAGCCGCAAGGCGAAGCUCUUGAUCGAAGCCCCGGUAAACGGCGGCCGUAACUAUAACGGUCCUAAGGUAGCGAAAUUCCUUGUCGGGUAAGUUCCGACCUGCACGAAUGGCGUAAUGAUGGCCAGGCUGUCUCCACCCGAGACUCAGUGAAAUUGAACUCGCUGUGAAGAUGCAGUGUACCCGCGGCAAGACGGAAAGACCCCGUGAACCUUUACUAUAGCUUGACACUGAACAUUGAGCCUUGAUGUGUAGGAUAGGUGGGAGGCUUAGAAGUGUGGACGCCAGUCUGCAUGGAGCCGACCUUGAAAUACCACCCUUUAAUGUUUGAUGUUCUAACGUUGACCCGUAAUCCGGGUUGCGGACAGUGUCUGGUGGGUAGUUUGACUGGGGCGGUCUCCUCCUAAAGAGUAACGGAGGAGCACGAAGGUUGGCUAAUCCUGGUCGGACAUCAGGAGGUUAGUGCAAUGGCAUAAGCCAGCUUGACUGCGAGCGUGACGGCGCGAGCAGGUGCGAAAGCAGGUCAUAGUGAUCCGGUGGUUCUGAAUGGAAGGGCCAUCGCUCAACGGAUAAAAGGUACUCCGGGGAUAACAGGCUGAUACCGCCCAAGAGUUCAUAUCGACGGCGGUGUUUGGCACCUCGAUGUCGGCUCAUCACAUCCUGGGGCUGAAGUAGGUCCCAAGGGUAUGGCUGUUCGCCAUUUAAAGUGGUACGCGAGCUGGGUUUAGAACGUCGUGAGACAGUUCGGUCCCUAUCUGCCGUGGGCGCUGGAGAACUGAGGGGGGCUGCUCCUAGUACGAGAGGACCGGAGUGGACGCAUCACUGGUGUUCGGGUUGUCAUGCCAAUGGCACUGCCCGGUAGCUAAAUGCGGAAGAGAUAAGUGCUGAAAGCAUCUAAGCACGAAACUUGCCCCGAGAUGAGUUCUCCCUGACUCCUUGAGAGUCCUGAAGGAACGUUGAAGACGACGACGUUGAUAGGCCGGGUGUGUAAGCGCAGCGAUGCGUUGAGCUAACCGGUACUAAUGAACCGUGAGGCUUAACCUU